ACCAGACUCCUACGGGAGGCAGCAGUGAGGAAUAUUGGUCAAUGGGCGAGAGCCUGAACCAGCCAAGUCGCGUGAAGGAUGAAGGAUCUAUGGUUUGUAAACUUCUUUUAUAUGGGAAUAAAGUGAGGAACGUGUUCCUUUUUGUAUGUACCAUAUGAAUAAGCAUCGGCUAACUCCGUGCCAGCAGCCGCGGUAAUACGGAGGAUGCGAGCGUUAUCCGGAUUUAUUGGGUUUAAAGGGUGCGCAGGCGGAGGUGCAAGUCAGCGGUCAAAUUGCGGGGCUCAACCCCGUACUGCCGUUGAAACUGCAUCCCUUGAGUGCGCGGAAGGCAGGCGGAAUUCGUGGUGUAGCGGUGAAAUGCUUAGAUAUCACGAAGAACCCCGAUUGCGAAGGCAGCCUGCCGCAGCGUUACUGACGCUGAAGCUCGAAAGCGCGGGUAUCGAACAGGAUUAGAUACCCCCGUAAGA
Molecule: ribosomal RNA, 467 nt
Filed under: uncultured bacterium
Lineage: Bacteria
Description: bacterial SSU rRNA
Rfam family: Bacterial small subunit ribosomal RNA
Source: RNAcentral